AAGCCUGACGGAGCAAGACCGCGUGGGGGAGGAAGGUUCUUGGAUUGUAAACCCCUUUUCUCAGGGAAGAACNCAAUGACGGUACCUGAGGAAUAAGCAUCGGCUAACUCCGUGCCAGCAGCCGCGGUAAUACGGAGGAUGCAAGCGUUAUCCGGAAUAAUUGGGCGUAAAGCGUCCGUAGGUGGUCAUUCAAGUCUGCCGUUAAAGAGUGGGGCUUAACCCCACAAAGGCGGUGGAAACUGAAAGACUAGAGUGCAGUAGGGGUAGAGGGAAUUCCCGGUGUAGCGGUGAAAUGCGUAGAGAUCGGGAAGAACACCGGUGGCCGAA
RNAcentral lists this ribosomal RNA (327 nucleotides) under Oscillatoriales cyanobacterium. RNAcentral's name for it is "bacterial SSU rRNA". It matches the Rfam family "Bacterial small subunit ribosomal RNA", at positions 379 to 720 of the family's 1533-position model. Lineage: Bacteria; Bacillati; Cyanobacteriota; Cyanophyceae; Oscillatoriales. The record is from RNAcentral.